CACUCUAUUUGAUUUUCUUCGGAAAUGAAGAUUUUGUGACUGAGUGGCGGACGGGUGAGUAACGCGUGGGUAACCUGCCUCAUACAGGGGGAUAACAGUUGGAAACGACUGCUAAUACCGCAUAAGCGCACAGGAUCGCAUGAUCUGGUGUGAAAAACUCCGGUGGUAUGGGAUGGACCCGCGUCUGAUUAGCCAGUUGGCAGGGUAACGGCCUACCAAAGCGACGAUCAGUAGCCGACCUGAGAGGGUGACCGGCCACAUUGGGACUGAGACACGGCCCAAACUCCUACGGGAGGCAGCAGUGGGGAAUAUUGCACAAUGGGGGAAACCCUGAUGCAGCGACGCCGCGUGAGCGAAGAAGUAUUUCGGUAUGUAAAGCUCUAUCAGCAGGGAAGAAGAAUGACGGUACCUGACUAAGAAGCACCGGCUAAAUACGUGCCAGCAGCCGCGGUAAUACGUAUGGUGCAAGCGUUAUCCGGAUUUACUGGGUGUAAAGGGAGCGCAGGCGGUGCGGCAAGUCUGAUGUGAAAGCCCGGGGCUCAACCCCGGUACUGCAUUGGAAACUGUCGUACUAGAGUGUCGGAGGGGUAAGUGGAAUUCCUAGUGUAGCGGUGAAAUGCGUAGAUAUUAGGAGGAACACCAGUGGCGA
Molecule: ribosomal RNA, 649 nt
Filed under: uncultured Lachnospiraceae bacterium
Lineage: Bacteria; Bacillati; Bacillota; Clostridia; Lachnospirales; Lachnospiraceae
Description: bacterial SSU rRNA
Rfam family: Bacterial small subunit ribosomal RNA
Source: RNAcentral